GGUUUCUUGAUUUAUUAUAGGAAAUUUAACCUGCCCACUGAAAAAUUUUUGAAGGGCCGCAGUAUUUUGACUGUGCAAAGGUAGCAUAAUCAUUAGUCUUUUAAUUAAAGGCUGGUAUGAAUGGUUGGACGAGGUAAAAUCUGUUUUAUAUUAAUUUUAUUGAAUUUAGAUUUUGAGUAAAAAUACUCAAAUAAUAUUAAGGGACGAGAAGACCCUAUAGAGUUUAAUAAUUAAAGUUUUAAUUGAGUUAAAUUUUAAUUUUUGAUUAUUAUGAUAUUUAUUUAAUUGGGGUGAUUAAAAGAUAAAUUAAACUCUUUUUUGAAAUUAAUAAUUUUAUUAAUUUAUUGAUCCAUAAAUUAUGAUUAUAAGAUUAAAUUACCUUAGGGAUAACAGCAUAAUUUUUUUUAAGAGUUCUUAUCGAAAAAAAAGAUUGUGACCUCGAUGUUGGAUUAAGAUUAAUAUUGGGUGUAGAUGUUCAAUUAUUAGGUCUGUUCGACCUUUAAAUUCUUACA
RNAcentral lists this ribosomal RNA (512 nucleotides) under Amantis tristis. RNAcentral describes it as "partial 16S ribosomal RNA". It matches the Rfam family "Bacterial large subunit ribosomal RNA", at positions 1889 to 2600 of the family's 2925-position model. Lineage: Eukaryota; Metazoa; Arthropoda; Insecta; Mantodea; Gonypetidae. The record is from RNAcentral.